UACGGGGGGAGCAAGCGUUGUUCGGAUUUACUGGGCGUAAAGGGCGCGUAGGCGGUCGUGACAAGUCACUUGUGAAAUCUCCGGGCUUAACUCGGAACGGUCAAGUGAUACUGUCGGACUAGAGUACAGAAGGGGCAACUGGAAUCCUCGGUGUAGCGGUGAAAUGCGUAGAUAUCGAGAGGAACACCGGUGGCGAAGGCGGGAUCCUGGGCCAGUACUGACGCUGAGGAGCGAAAAGCGUGGGGAGCAAACA
This 253-nucleotide ribosomal RNA is filed under the name uncultured bacterium. RNAcentral's name for it is "partial 16S ribosomal RNA". It matches the Rfam family "Bacterial small subunit ribosomal RNA", at positions 524 to 774 of the family's 1533-position model. The record is from RNAcentral.